RNAcentral lists this ribosomal RNA (468 nucleotides) under uncultured bacterium. RNAcentral describes it as "partial 16S ribosomal RNA". It matches the Rfam family "Bacterial small subunit ribosomal RNA", at positions 28 to 507 of the family's 1533-position model. The record is from RNAcentral.
GACGAACGCUGGCGGCGUGCUUAACACAUGCAAGUCGAACGGAAAGGCCCUGCUUUUGUGGGGUGCUCGAGUGGCGAACGGGUGAGUAACACGUGAGUAACCUGCCCUUGUCUUUGGGAUAACUUCAGGAAACUGGGGCUCAUAUCGGAUAGGAGCUCCUGCUGCAUGGUGGGGGUUGGAAAGUUUCGGCGGUUGGGGAUGGACUCGCGGCUUAUCAGCUUGUUGGUGGGGUAGUGGCUUACCAAGGCUUUGACGGGUAGCCGGCCUGAGAGGGUGACCGGCCACAUUGGGACUGAGAGACGGCCCAGACUCCUACGUGAGGCAGCAGUGGGGAAUAUUGCACAAUGAGCGGAAGCCUGAUGCAGCAACGCCGCGUGCGGGAUGACGGCCUUCGGGUUGUAAACCGCUUUCGCCUGUGACGAAGCGUGAGUGACGGUAAUGAGUAAAGAAGCACCGGCUAACUACGUG